This 852-nucleotide ribosomal RNA is filed under the name Vaginatispora nypae. RNAcentral describes it as "partial large subunit ribosomal RNA". It matches the Rfam family "Eukaryotic large subunit ribosomal RNA", at positions 87 to 954 of the family's 3401-position model. The record is from RNAcentral. Lineage: Eukaryota; Fungi; Ascomycota; Dothideomycetes; Pleosporales; Lophiostomataceae.
CGGCGAGUGAAGCGGCAACAGCUCAAAUUUGAAAUCUGGCCCUCUUGGGGGUCCGAGUUGUAAUUUGCAGAGGGUGCUUUGGCGUUGGCUGUGGUCUAAGUUCCUUGGAACAGGACGUCGCAGAGGGUGAGAAUCCCGUAUGUGGCCGCCAGCCUUCGCCGUGUAAAGCCCCUUCGACGAGUCGAGUUGUUUGGGAAUGCAGCUCUAAAUGGGAGGUAAAUUUCUUCUAAAGCUAAAUAUCUGCCAGAGACCGAUAGCGCACAAGUAGAGUGAUCGAAAGAUGAAAAGCACUUUGGAAAGAGAGUCAAAAAGCACGUGAAAUUGUUGAAAGGGAAGCGCUUGCGGUUAGACAUGCCUUUAGUUGCUCAGCCGGGCUCUUUGGCCCGGUGCACUCUUCUAUAGGCAGGCCAGCAUCAGUCUGGGCGGUCGGAUAAAUGCCUAUUAAACGUGACUCCCCUCGGGGAGAGCUUAUAGGGUAGGCGCCAUGCGACCAGCCUGGACUGAGGUCCGCGCAUCUGCUAGGAUGCUGGCGUAAUAGCUGCAAGCGGCCCGUCUUGAAACACGGACCAAGGAGUCUAACAUCUAUGCGAGUGUUUGGGUGUCAAGCCCGGGCGCGUAAUGAAAGUGAACGGAGGUGGGAUCCCUUCGGGGUGCACCAUCGACCGAUCCUGAUGUCUUCGGAUGGAUUUGAGUAAGAGCAUAGCUGUUGGGACCCGAAAGAUGGUGAACUAUGCCUGAAUAGGGUGAAGCCAGAGGAAACUCUGGUGGAGGCUCGCAGCGGUUCUGACGUGCAAAUCGAUCGUCAAAUUUGGGCAUAGGGGCGAAAGACUAAUCGAACUAUCUAAUAGCUGG